AAUAUUUAAUUUUUUUUCUAUUUUCCGUUUAAAUAACUACAUAAAACUCAUACAAUUAUGAUUUUCAUUCUAUUUUAACUUUAAACUCAAAAAAUAAAAUACAUGACUUUUAGUGAUAGAUUAUAAUAGCCGCUAACAACUUGUCAUGAAAACUCUUUAGUGACGAAUAUAUUGUAAGGCCGUCGCUAAUCUUUGUUAUCAGCGACGAAACUAUCAAUUCGUCGCUAAGAUUUUGUUUUCUCGUUGUAAUUAUUACAUGCCGUUAUUACUUUUUAGUAAAAGACAGAAGUUUGAAUUUAACCCCUCAAUAAAAUGAUUCUAAAUUCAUCUCUAACAAAAAUAUAUAUUAGCUUAUAAAUCAAAUUUUUUAUGAAAUGAG
This 379-nucleotide unclassified non-coding RNA is filed under the name Hevea brasiliensis (rubber tree). The record is from RNAcentral. Lineage: Eukaryota; Viridiplantae; Streptophyta; Magnoliopsida; Malpighiales; Euphorbiaceae.